AGAUGCUAAACAGGAGGACCUUUUAGUCUGGCACGUGUAGGGAGAAGCACGAUCGGAAUUAUUUCUGUGCGACCAUGAAGGCUUUUUUAAAUAGCAAUAAGCAAUACUAAGCUUCAUAAAGUGCUUUCGUGUAAAGAAUAAAAAAAGCUGAAACGAUGUCAUAUGAACUCAGGAGAGCUUUCCAGUGGUGCCUUACUGAUCAAACAAUUUUUAUUUUGUCUUACAAUUCAAAAUAUAAAAAAAAGUAAUUGAAAUGUUUUAGAUAUAAAUCUUAAAAUGUGUGAUGCUAGGCAAAAAUGUCUGUCUCUUUCAAGUUUUAUGUUAUUCAACCCCUUUCUUUUGUAACCUAAUUUAUUUUUUUAAUAAAGAAGUUGAAUUAUUUUAAAUAUGAA
Stegodyphus dumicola is the source of this 392-nucleotide RNA transcript. RefSeq lists it as uncharacterized. Lineage: Eukaryota; Metazoa; Arthropoda; Arachnida; Araneae; Eresidae. The record is from RefSeq and is a predicted model, not a curated record.